Talpa occidentalis (Iberian mole) is the source of this 1162-nucleotide long non-coding RNA. RefSeq lists it as uncharacterized. The record is from RefSeq and is a predicted model, not a curated record. The transcript is spliced from 4 exons. NCBI's taxonomy places the organism in Eukaryota, Metazoa, Chordata, Mammalia, Eulipotyphla, Talpidae.
UCUGCAGACAAGCUCAGAUGAAGCUGGUGCGGCCCCUCCCUGCAGGACAUGGAGCAGGGCUCAUAGGGCCUCCCCCGGGAUCCCACAUGGUUCCCAGAUGACACAUGUCAGGACGGGGUAGAGGACAGGACCCUAAGCCCGAUAAACAAGUGUGGGGUAAACAAGUGCAAUCAGGAGGUUGGCAGAGGCUCUUCUAAGCAGGUCACCUCGAUGUGGCCUGAAAGAUCGUGUAGGAGCCAGAGAAGUGUGGUUGUUUUUUUAAGGGAAAAUUAGGAGGAUCCGACGGAUCCUACCUCUGGUGAGGCACCCCUCAAUGAGUGCCAAAUUCUCCCUGUCUACUCUCUUGGGAACCAUCUUCUCUGAGCCAUGAGGCCCCUUGGCACCCAGCAGGGCUCCUGAGCAGCUAACAGCAGGUUCUAACUCUGUAAGAAGAUUUGGGGAAGCACUGAAACUUCUCAAGUUUGAAGGGACGCCCUAGAAGCCCCACCAUUUCACAGCAGCCCUGAGGAGAUGGUGCCCUGCUCCUGCCCCAGUUCUGUGCUCUGCCUCUUCCCCUCCCUGCUGCUCCUCCUUCAGCUGCCCCCCGCCCGGGGGGUCCCAAGAGAGGUUCCAUGUGUUUGGCCCCCCAGACCCCAUAGUGGCAGAGCUGGGCAAGGAUGCCACACUGCCCUGCUUCCUGGACCCAGUCAAGAGUGCAGAGAACAUGGAGUUGAGGUGGUUCCAGUCCAAUGUUUGGGAGUCAGUGUUCACCUAUCAAGACUGACAGGAGCGGAAUGAGGAACUGAUGGCCCAGUACACAGGGCGGACCUCGCUGGUGGGGGAAUUCCUCAGUGUGGGGGAGGCUGCUGUGUGCAUUCACAAGGUCCAGGCUACUGACAACGGGCUGUACACCUGCUUCUUCAGUGAUAUAGACUUCCACCAGGAAGCUAGCUUGGAGCUGCAGGUGGCAGGUUGGUGACAUGGUUAAAUAUCUCAGAGUCCUGGAAUUUUGGAAUUGGGGAGAAAAUAAGGGCAAUGGAAUUUAGUUUUUCAUUUCAUUUAUGGGUAAGAAAAGGCUUAUUAGUUCAUGUUUUAUGAAAUGUAAAUAUAUGGGGUAUCUACUGCAUGUCUGGCCCUGUUCUAAACUCUUGGAUACAAAAGCAAAUCUAAUAAAGUUCUUCAC